Molecule: ribosomal RNA, 463 nt
Filed under: uncultured bacterium
Lineage: Bacteria
Description: partial 16S ribosomal RNA
Rfam family: Bacterial small subunit ribosomal RNA
Source: RNAcentral
GACGAACGCUGGCGGCACGCCUAACACAUGCAAGUCGAACGGACUUAAAAGAGCUUGCUUUCUCAAGUUAUUGGCGGACGGGUGAGUAACACGUGAGCAACCUCCCUCUGAGAGGGGGAUAUCAUCUGGAAACGGAUGGUAUUACCCCAUAAAAUAUAUAUAUCCCCUGAUAGAUAUAUCAAAGAAAUUCGCUCAGAGAUGGACUCGAGUCUGAUUAGAUAGUUUGUGAGGUAACUGCUCACCAAGUCGACGAUCAGUAGACGGAAUGAGAGGUUGAACGGACACAUUGGGACUGGGAAGCGGCACAGAAUCCUACGCGAGGCAGCAGUGGGGAAUAGUGCAACAUGGAGGGAACUCUGAUGGAGCGAUGACGCGUGGAGGAAGAAAGUAUUCAGAUUGUAAUCUCCUUUUAUCAGUGAACAUAAUGACGGUACCUGAACAAAAAGCCCCGGCUAACUACGUG